This 253-nucleotide ribosomal RNA is filed under the name uncultured bacterium. RNAcentral's name for it is "partial 16S ribosomal RNA". It matches the Rfam family "Bacterial small subunit ribosomal RNA", at positions 524 to 776 of the family's 1533-position model. The record is from RNAcentral.
UACGAAGGGGGCUAGCGUUGCUCGGAAUCACUGGGCGUAAAGGGUGCGUAGGCGGGUCUUUAAGUCAGAGGUGAAAUCCUGGAGCUCAACUCCAGAACUGCCUUUGAUACUGAAGAUCUUGAGUUCGGGAGAGGUGAGUGGAACUGCGAGUGUAGAGGUGAAGUUCGUAGAUAUUCGCAAGAACACCAGUGGCGAAGGCGGCUCACUGGCCCGAUACUGACGCUGAGGCACGAAAGCGUGGGGAGCAAACAGG